GGUAAUGUCGUGCAGGCGAGCAGGGUAAGAGGAUGGGUGGAAGUGUGAAUCGGGAUGAAUUGGGGGAAGUGGUGCGGGGGUUGGGCGGUAAGUCUGGCGUGAAAGCCCCGGGCUCAACCUGGGAAUGGCGAUGGAGACUGGCGGGGUAGAGUGCGGGAGAGGGUGGUGGAAUUCCCGGGGUAGCAGUGAAAUGCGUAGAGAUCGGGAGGAACAUCAGUUGCGAAGGCGGCCACCUGGACCAGCACUGACACUGAGGCACGAAAGCGUGGGGAGCAAACAGGAUUAGAUACCCCAGUAGUC
Molecule: ribosomal RNA, 300 nt
Filed under: uncultured Aquifex sp.
Lineage: Bacteria; Pseudomonadati; Aquificota; Aquificia; Aquificales; Aquificaceae
Description: partial 16S ribosomal RNA
Rfam family: Bacterial small subunit ribosomal RNA
Source: RNAcentral